Molecule: non-coding RNA, 296 nt
Organism: Pimephales promelas (fathead minnow)
Lineage: Eukaryota; Metazoa; Chordata; Actinopteri; Cypriniformes; Leuciscidae
Source: RefSeq, a predicted model, not a curated record
GGCAUAGUUGCCUAGUUAGGUGGAGUAACAGCCCGAGUGGCGAUUGCACUGGUAAUUGCCUAAUUCGAGUCAGGUGCGCUAUAGGUGCGGGAGCACGCAUAAAUGGUUCUGUGUAUUGAGAGCGUGUAGGCUGUUGUAAGUUCUGUUGCUGCUUUCCUGCUGAGCGGUUCUCAUAUGGGGAUUCUGGAGCUGAGUCGCGCAUCCAUUUGGUAUGCGUGACGGGCUGUGUUUACAUAUCGCGGCUUGACAGUGGGAAGACUGAUUUGCGGAAAAUCAGUGGACGAGCGAGUAAUAUC